AUGGAGGUCGCCAUUAAAAAUGUGAUGCCGCAGACAGCACACCGUUGGUGCAAGUGGCAUGUGCUGAAGAAGGCAAAAGAAUCACUUGGAUCGCUGUACUCGAAGAAGAGCGAGUUUAGGGCAGAAUUUCACAAGGUAGUAAAUCACAUGCUUACAGUCGAUGAAUUCGAGGAAGCUUGGAAGAGCUUGGUGGAGAAAUAUAAUUUGAAGACACAUGACUACAUGAGGCAGUUGUAUGACAUAAGACACAAGUGGGCAAAGCCUUAUUUUAAAGGAGUUUUUUGUGCUAAGAUGAGCAGUACCCAGCGCAGUGAAAGUGCAAACCACAUGUUGAAGAACUAUGUACCGCCUGGUUGUCCCAUGCAUAUGUUUGUGAAGAAAUACAUGAGACUACAAUCUGAUAGGGAAGCCGAGGAGAACUACGAGGAGAAGCGGACACGGAUAGGUAGACCGCUGUACAGAGCAAACUUAGCUAUAGAGAGGCAUGCUGGUAAGAUAUACACACGAGCUAUGUUCGAGCAGUUUGGACAUAUUCUUUAUGAGUGCGGCGCAUACCAAGUGGAGGAGCGGGAGAAAGGAAAAUUGUAUCUUGCCAUUCAUACCGAUGCUGCUAGGAGGGAGAAGUGGUGUAGGGUGUCAUAUAAGGUAGCUGUUCUUGAAGGAGGUGAUGAAUAUGACUGUGAGUGUGGGCAAUUUGCACACAUGGGGCUGCUUUGCAGCCAUGUUGUGAAGGUGCUGGAUUUCAUCCGUGUUACAGAGAUACCGCAAAAACACAUUGUGAAGCGAUGGACCAGGGACGCACGGGACAUACUGCCAGCUCACCUUACUCAAUAUCAGAGGGAUAAUGCUCACAACAAACCUUUCAGCUUCAGGCAUUUCAAUAUGUAUAUGCAUGCCAUGGAGUUGGUUCGAAUGGGCGAUGCAAGCGUGGAAGCAUAUGACAAAUUCAUGACUCUCAUCAAGGAUUUCCUGGUCCAAAUGGAACCAUUCUCGGAAAUAAGGGAUGGGCUCGGACUGGAGGACAGGAUUGGUCAGCAUGGAGAUGGUGCUAAUGCAAGGGCAAAUGGUGAUGAGCUUGCUGCCCAUACGACAGUAGUUGCGGCAAGUGGAGGUGCAGGCUUCGGAAAUGUGAAUGAUGAUGCUACUUCUGCAAAUGAGAGUGGGAAUAGACUCAGUGGAUUGUUAGCGCCAAAGAAAAGGAAAGAGAUGGGGCGCCCGACAACUAGCCGUGAGAAGGCACCGUACGAGGGGCUCAGCAAGCGGACCAGGUUCUGUAGCAUAUGUCAGCAGCAAGGGCACAAGAGGACUACUUGCCCGGACCGGGGUGAUGCACCAAAGCCUGUUCGGAAACCAGCAAGGUGCAAAAAUUGUGGAGUUGAAGGUCAUAGGCAAAACAACUGCAACAAAGUCGGUGAUCUGCGGGUCAUAGGCGUGUGA
This 1437-nucleotide ribosomal RNA is filed under the name Triticum aestivum (bread wheat). Its description in RNAcentral is "partial small subunit ribosomal RNA". The record is from RNAcentral. Lineage: Eukaryota; Viridiplantae; Streptophyta; Magnoliopsida; Poales; Poaceae.